UACGUAGGGUGCAAGCGUUAAUCGGAAUUACUGGGCGUAAAGCGUGCGCAGGCGGUUAUGUAAGACAGGUGUGAAAAUCCCCGGGCUAACCUGGGGAACUGCAUUUGUGACUGCAUAGCUAGAGUACGGUAGAGGGGGAUGGAAUUCCGCGUGUAGCAGUGAAAUGCGUAGAUAUGCGGAGGAACACCGAUGGCGAAGGCAAUCCCCUGGACCUGUACUGACGCUCAUGCACGAAGCGUGGGGAG
This 245-nucleotide ribosomal RNA is filed under the name uncultured bacterium. RNAcentral's name for it is "partial 16S ribosomal RNA". It matches the Rfam family "Bacterial small subunit ribosomal RNA", at positions 524 to 768 of the family's 1533-position model. The record is from RNAcentral.